GUGUCAGCAGCCGCGGUAAUACGUAGGGUGCAAGCGUUGUCCGGAAUUAUUGGGCGUAAAGAGCUCGUAGGCGGUUCGUCGCGUCGGCUGUGAAAUCCCGAGGCUCAACCUCGGGCCUGCAGUCGAUACGGGCGGACUUGAGUUCGGCAGGGGAGACUGGAAUUCCUGGUGUAGCGGUGAAAUGCGCAGAUAUCAGGAGGAACACCGGUGGCGAAGGCGGGUCUCUGGGCCGAAACUGACGCUGAGGAGCGAAAGCGUGGGGAGCGAACAGGAUUAGAUACCCUGGUAGUCCACGCCGUAAACGUUGGGCGCUAGGUGUGGGGCUCAUUCCACGAGUUCCGUGCCGCAGCUAACGCAUUAAGCCCUCCGCCUGGGGAGUACGGUCGCAAGAUUAAAACUCAAAGGAAUUGGCGGGG
This 416-nucleotide ribosomal RNA is filed under the name uncultured prokaryote. RNAcentral describes it as "bacterial SSU rRNA". It matches the Rfam family "Bacterial small subunit ribosomal RNA", at positions 505 to 918 of the family's 1533-position model. The record is from RNAcentral.